Molecule: ribosomal RNA, 392 nt
Filed under: uncultured Gammaproteobacteria bacterium
Lineage: Bacteria; Pseudomonadati; Pseudomonadota; Gammaproteobacteria
Description: bacterial SSU rRNA
Rfam family: Bacterial small subunit ribosomal RNA
Source: RNAcentral
AAUGGGGGCAACCCUGAUCUAGCCAUGCCGCGUGAGUGAAGAAGGCCUUAGGGUCGUAAAGCUCUUUCAGCUGGGAAGAUAAUGACGGUACCAGCAGAAGAAGCCCCGGCUAACUCCGUGCCAGCAGCCGCGGUAAUACGGAGGGGGCUAGCGUUGCUCGGAAUUACUGGGCGUAAAGCGCGCGUAGGCGGGCUGUUAAGUCGGGGGUGAAAUCCCGGGGCUCAACCCCGGAACUGCCUCCGAUACUGGCAGCCUAGAGAUCGAGAGAGGUGAGUGGAAUUCCGAGUGUAGAGGUGAAAUUCGUAGAUAUUCGGAGGAACACCAGUGGCAAAGGCGGCUCACUGGCUCGAUACUGACGCUGAGGCGCGAAAGCGUGGGGAGCAAACAGGAUU